GAUCAUGGCUCAGGACGAACGCUGGCGGCGCGCCUAACACAUGCAAGUCGAACGAGAGAGGAAGAGCUUGCUCUUCUGAUCGAGUGGCGAACGGGUGAGUAACGCGUGAGGAACCUGCCUCAAAGAGGGGGACAACAGUUGGAAACGACUGCUAAUACCGCAUAAGCCCACGGCUCGGCAUCGAGCAGAGGGAAAAGGAGCAAUCCGCUUUGAGAUGGCCUCGCGUCCGA
This 230-nucleotide ribosomal RNA is filed under the name uncultured bacterium. RNAcentral describes it as "partial 16S ribosomal RNA". It matches the Rfam family "Bacterial small subunit ribosomal RNA", at positions 15 to 240 of the family's 1533-position model. The record is from RNAcentral.